GGAUUGUGGCUCAGAGGUAGAGCACUCUCCUGGCAUGCAUGAGGCACUUAGUUCGAUUCUCAGCACCA
Molecule: transfer RNA, 68 nt
Filed under: Marmota monax (woodchuck)
Lineage: Eukaryota; Metazoa; Chordata; Mammalia; Rodentia; Sciuridae
Description: tRNA.Ala
Source: RNAcentral